AGUGACCAAUGAGAACUGAUUACAAACCAUUUAACUGAACAAAAGUCACCUUCUGUUACACACAAGUUUAUCUGGAGAAAUAUUCAUGCAAUAUUCAUGAUGCUGCCUGGAAGUCCCAACACUUUAAUUCAUUCUCUACCAUCUCCAGAAACCAUGUCCUAACCAGCUUCACAGCCCCUUCCACUGAUGCUGACCCAUGUCCAUUUAGGUGGUUCACACUAGCUUACAUAUAAAUCCAAGGUGGUGUGAACCCUCUGCUUUUGUGUUUAAAAUUUCCUUUCAGAUUCAGAUUUAGAAUACUUGAUUAGUCCUGGAAGGACAAUUCAGUUUUACAAUCAACCCGUCCACAGAAGGGAAAGUUAUACUUUUAUGUAACCUAUAUAGGGUUCAAUAAGUUAUCAUGGAUUUGUUCAUCAAAAUGUCCUGAAUGUAUAAACAGUAAGUGCAGCAUCACCAAACAACCCUUUCUGCUGGCUUCAACAUCAAAUUUAAAAGUCUCUGAACACUAAGCUCUUACAGUUACACUGUCUUACUGUAUGUUUGUUUUCAGUGUAGCAGGAUGAUGUAUUUCAUCCUUGCUCCUGCACAUGUUGCCUGCUUCCUUGAAGCCUCCAUCAGCCAAUUACCUGAAGGGGGCACUCUAUAAAAGGGGGUAGUUGGACCCUCCCUCUCCCUCUUGCUCUGGCCUUUCCAUCACUUCCAGGUUGCCUUGCCUCUCGCAUCACGCGGCAGGUAAGAUAGCAGUGGCUGCUAACUAUGUUAACUGGGUGAUUAUUGUGCUUUGCUACCUCUGAUUCGACCUGUUUUCAGAUGCUUGAUGUUUGCUGUUCUCAUGCUGGUCACGGUGUAGAUCGCGGCAGACACCAGUGUAGCUGGGUCUGCACUCCUCUCGCUCCUCUCCCUCUCAGAUGAUCUUUUCACAUGGCCUGACCAGUAUGUAUGCCUUACGGCGAACCUGUACUUUCACUCUCUGCUCCUCCAACAUUAAUUAGAGUUUAUUAUGUUUGUGACAGGGGCUGUGUGUCCAGGUGUCUCCCUGGGGAACUCCAGCGGUGCAAGAUUGGUGAUAAGAUUACUGCAAGAUUACUGUAAGAAUUUGCAGCUUUGACGCUGCCUUAACGCUGCUUUGACGCUGCUCUGCCUCUGCUUUGCCUCGACCUGUGCUGCUCCCCCGCUGCUUGCCUGGCCGGGCGGCUGUGUGGCUGCUUUGACGUAGUGCUCCUACUUCUGUGCCUGCCUGCAGCUUCCUGCCUCUGCUCCCUUAUGGAUGUACAGCUCCUGGUGCUUUGCUGCUUUGCUGUUUUUUUUCUGCUGUUUUUUUUCUGCGGCUCUGAAAGUGAGGGGCUGGUCGCCGCAUAGAGGGACGCGGACAUGAAAUAAACUGUGGUUGGGCUGCACACAGGCUGGACUGGACCAGUGUAUUCAUGGUGUGCUGACGUCCUCAGCCCAAUUUUAAGGGAAUAGUUUUAAGGAAAGACAGUGUUACGGUGGGGUCACUUAAGUUCUUAGUUAAUUCAUUUUGUUUCUUUCCUUCAUUUGGUUUCCUGGUUUUCUUUUAUAAAUACUGGUUAUAUUUUUGGUCCUUUUGUUUUGAGUUCAUGGGGAAACAUUUUUUGAGUUAAAUUUGUUUCCAUGAAUUGAAUAAUUUCAUAUUUCGUUACAUCUUUUUUUUCCUUCCUUAUUUAGUUUAUUAGCUUAUUAUCCUCCUUUGGUUGAUUGGUAUGUUUUUGAUUAAUUAAGGGACAUCUUUUCUAAUUUACUUAUCGUUUUCUUUUUGUUUGUUCUAUUUUGGUUGUUCAUGAGUUGGGUUUUCUUGGCAGCAUAUGUGCUUUGCUUGAGCUAAUUCGUGGCUGCCACCCAUAAUAUUAGUAUUGUUUGUUAUUAUUUUGUAUAGGUAUUUUUAGUUAUUUUCUCUAUUUGAGUGUAACCCACUAACCCCCUUUUCUUUUGUCCCUUUCAGUUGCUGAGAGCUUGCAGUGGUGGUUCCUGGUGUCCUGGUGGUGGUUUCCCUCAUAUGGUGUGCUGUUUAUCCCCUGGGCUUUUGUUGUUUUCACCGAGUGAGUGUUCAUGUGAUUGCCAUGUGUGAUUGGGGUGUGAUUGGGGCCACUGGUGAGUCCCUGUUCUUCCUGAUGUAUGAUUGCCACGUGUGCUUGGGGUGCCUUUUCUUCUCUGGGUAGGGUUAGAUCUCUCCUUGGUAACUAUGUCUCUGUCUUUUCUGUCCAUGAUGGAGACUUGGGCUGCACAGACCUCAUAGCCCAUGACAUCCCCCUCCUGGAUAAUAUUCCAGUGAGGCAACGCUACAGGCGAAUUCCUCCAUCAGACUAUGAGGCUGUGAAGCAGCAUAUCAACCAGUUGCUUGAGGCUCAGAUCAUUAGGGAGAGUAGCAGUCCUUAUGCCUCUCCGAUUGUUCUUGUGAAGAAGAAAGACGGGACUUUGCGAAUGUGUGUUGACUAUCGGCAACUGAACAGCAAGACCAGGAAGGAUGCUUUUCCUCUACCACGCAUUGAAGAGUCUCUUGAUGCUCUAAUGAAUGCCAAAUGGUUUUCCACGCUGGACCUUGCCAGCGGAUACAAUCAGGUUCCUGUAGCAGAGAAUGAUUGUGCCAAAACUGCCUUUUGCACCCCCUUUGGGUUGUUCGAAUGGAACCGCAUGCCCUUUGGACUUUGCAACGCUCCUGGCACCUUCCAGCGACUCAUGCAGCGGCUGUUUGGGGUCCAACAAUGUUGAUCCUUACUCCUCUAUCUGGAUGACAUUAUCGUCUUUUCUUUCACCAUCGAACAGCACUUGGAGAGGUUGGGUUAAGUGUUGGAAUGGUUGCGUUCCGAGAAUCCGAAGGUGAAGCUUGCAAAGUGUGCCUUUUUCCAGCAACAGGUGCAGUAUUUGGGUCAUGUGGUUUCGGACAAAGGGCGCUCCACUGAUCCAAGUAAGGUCGAAGUGGUUGCUAUCUGGCCAUCUCCCUCUACAGUUUCUGACCUGCAAUCAUUUCUCCCUUCCUUUUGUCCUGGAAGUUGAUGCCAGCUAUGGUGGUCUUGGAGCUGUGCUUACACAGGAGCAAGGUGGGAAGGUAAGACCAAUAGCUUAUGCCAGCUGUGGUCUAAGGCCCACUGAGCGCAACAUGGUCAACUACAGCUCCAUGAAACUGGAGUUUGUGGCGCUCAAGUGGGCCAUGACAGAAAAAUUCAAGAAGUAUCUCCUUGGUAACAAGUGUGUGGUCUACACCGACAACAACCUGCUUAGCCAUUUGUCCACUGCUAAGCUUGGUAUCACUAAACAGCGUUGGGCUGCCCAGUUGGCAUCUCCUGAUUUCGUGAUCAGGUACCGCUCAGGGCGGAGCAACCAAAACGCUGAUGCGUCGUCCUACCAGUAUACACCUGGAGUUCAAGACACCGAAACCAUGCUCCCUGGGACUUCUCUUACUCAUCCUUUACAGCAGGCACUCAAGGUGAAAAAGGCUGAAGUGACACAAUCAGCUGUGCUGGCUCUCCUGUACCAUUCUCAGUCAGACAUCAGUGCACUCCAGCAAGCUGACCCUGUUCUACAAGAGCUCCUUGUCUUCUGGCAACAGAAGAGGCAUCCUGAUAGGGAGGAGUGCAAACAGCUAUCUCGGCCUGUUUAAGCACUACUGCGCCAAUGGGACCAUUUGGUGGAGCGUGAUGGGGUCCUCCUGAUGGUGGCGAGGCAGUUCCUCAGUUGCUCCUGCCUGCUGCCUUGAAAGAGGAGGUUUUAACUGAGGUCUACCAGAGGCAUGGCCACCAAGGUGUCGGAAGGACCCUGGAGCUUCUCCGGCAACGUUGUUAUCGGCCUGGUAUGACCUCUGAAGUGGAAAGUUGGUGUCAGACAUGUGAGAGAUGUCAGGUUGCUAAGAAUUCCCAACAUCCUGUUCGUAGUCUCAUGGGGCACCUGUUGGCUUCCAAGACAAAUGAGAUACUUGCCAUGGACUACACUGUGCUUGAACCCACCUAUAAGAGGGUUGAAAAUGUCUUGGUGUUAACUGACGUCUUUAGUAAGUACACACUGGCUGUCCCUACAUGGGACCAACGGGCUUCCACUGUGGCCCAAGUUCUGGUUGUGGAGUGGUUCUCAAAGUUUGGUGUACCUGCCCAAAUCCUUUUGGACCAAGGCCGCAACUUUGAGAGCGCUUUGAUCCAACAACUUUGUGCCCUUUAUGACAUCAAAAAGUCUCACAUAGUUCCGUACCAUCCUGCUGGAAAUGGUCUGUGUGAGCCGUUCAACUGGACUCUUCAUGACUUGCUGUGCACUCUGCCGGUGUCUUGGAAGCGAGACUGGAGCUCCUGCUUGCCACAGUUGCUAUAUUCUUAAUAAUAAUAAUAAUAAUAAUGCAUCAGAUUUCAUAUAGCGCUUUAUCAGAGACCCUCAAAGCGCUUUACAUUGGAUACAUCAUUCAUUCGCUCACACAGUCACACUUUGGUGGUGGUGGAAACGUGGCUGCCAUUCUGCGCCUACGGCCUCUCCGACCACCACCACACAACACUCACAAUCAUACACCAGUGGAGGACACACACUGGGAGCAAGGUGGGUUAAGUGUCUUGCCCAAGGACACAACGGACAGACUUGGAUUAGGGGGGAAUCGAACCGCCAACCUUCUGGUCAUUGGACGACCGCUCUACCUCCUGAGCUACUGCCGCCCCGGCAGUAGUCUUAUAAUACCACCCCUCAUCAGGCCACUGGUGAGUCCCUGUUCUUCCUGAUGUAUGAUUGCCACGUGUGCUUGGGGUGCCUUUUCUUCUCUGGGAUCCCCCACAUCCCGUCCCUAGAUCCAUUUCCAUUUGGUAAGCCUCAGCACCUGAAAAAGGGCUCACCUCCCCUAUUUGUGUGUGUGUGCUAUGUUCUUAUUGAUGAUUGAAUAAAAAUUUUUAAAUAAAGUCAAUAUUUUGUAAGCUUGGAACCACGUCUCCUGCUCUCUAUUUACGGAAAAUGAACCUGAGUGCCUUAAAAAAAAAUUCAUUCCUGCAGAACUAAUUCUUUGGGAGAAAUUCCCAAAGUGGCGUUGUUGGUUUCCCUUAAUAAUCCAAAACAAAUUCUUUUUAAUCCAAAAUCUGCCUUAUUGCACCCUCGAGUCGCCACAUUAGUAACAUAGACGAAAUCAAAGAAAUUUUUCCUAAAAAUAGUAUUGUUAUUCUCUAGUUAAACUGUCAGAUCAAUCACUUCGAUUUUAAAUAUGUGCAGUGGAAAAAGUCAAAGUAAAAACUACACUAAAGAAAUUGCUGUUCUUUUUUCUGACAGACUCUCUUGCUUUUGUUGGUCAUAAAGAGGCGUCAUAAUUGAUUUUAGUCUAUUACAAACCCCUCACUGGAGCUUAGACUUAGACUUAGUGGAUGUGUAAUGUGAUGUUCUAUUGCGGUUGCAAUAUUAAUGGCCCUGUUGAGAUCUAUUAGAUUUGGUUCUGAGAGACCGAUUAUUCUGGAAGCUGUGGAGGUUCUGCAUGUGAGUUUGGCCUUGUUUUUAACAGAUAGCAUGGUGAAGAAGCAGGUGGAACAGUCGAGAGGUAUGGAUUGAUCAUACUUUUAUACAGCAGCAGGGGGAGAUGGGGGGCAACUUAGAGUCCUUUUAGUUUGGAUGGCUGACAGUCAUCAAUGGCUCCUUUUCUGAAUGUCACUGAUGUGCCGGACGAAGGUGUGCUUUUUCGGUGUUACCCCAAGAUAUUUAAAACUGUCACUAUCACUGUCGCCACUGCUUGGUCAUUAAUAUGGAUGGGAUGUUGAGUUGAGGAGGGACUGAUUAUCAGUUCCUUUGUUUUGGUGACAAUGAGAUGGAGGUGGUUAUACUCACACCACUGAGUGAAGUGUGAGAUGGUGUUGUGAUAGUCCAAGGCAGUUGUUAUCUGUGUUGUCUGAGUAUUUGAGAUAUGUGGUAGUAGGUUAUGGGCUUUUGCAGUCAUUGGUGUACAGGGUGUAGAGGAAUGGGCUUAACACACAAUCCUGUGGUACUCCUGUGUUUGUUGUGAAUGUGGAUGAUGUUGUUGUGCCCAGUGUUGGGAAAGUUCACUUUCUACCCCAACUAGUUCAUAGUUCUUUUCACACAAUGUAAAAUGAACUAGUUCAGUUUAUUGUUCAUAAUUCCACAUUUUGAACUUAAGUUCAUGGUUCCCAAAAAUGAACUGAUUUAGUUCUUUUAUUUUUCCUCCAAUACCUUGCUGCAAGCUAUUAUUUGUCAAGAUUUUUUACGGAGCCCAUGUAGAACCACAGACAGCCAUUAUUUUAGCCAUUUUAACACUUAAACUAGUUCAGGUUAAUCUUCAUAUCCAUUUUUGAAUUCUAAUCCAACCAGGUUUACAAUAGAAUUGAGAGGACAGCCCUCAGAAUACCAGCGUUUCCCUAAUAUUUUGUUCAGUCCUAACUAGUCGGAAUGUUCAUCUCUAGAGUAUAAUUUCAUAAAUAUGAGGAAAACCUGCUGCUUGAAUGGUUUUUAGACUCUUUAUUAUGAUUACAACAACAGGACUGUGGUCCUUAUAAAAUGCAGGAAAGUUUUGCAGCGCGCACCGGGCAGUUUUGCGAUUACCUUGUACGGUGGAUAUGAGCUAAUUAUGAGAGUAUUUGUAAUGAGAUUGCUCAUCCAAACAAGUUAGUAUAAGUGAAGCUGCACACUUUUUUUUUUUGUUUUAACAAUAAAUAAAAAAUUAUAAUAGCUACGAUAUGCCUUGAACUUAUUUAGUCCACUAAUAUUAGUGGUAAAGUCCUCAUAUGUUUUACAUGCUCUCACGUAUGAGGCUCUCUGAACAUCUGUGUGUACAAUACCGCACUCUUUUAUCUGAGGCUGCCCUAAACGCAUCACUCCGUUUAGGGCACUCCGUUUAGAAGGUGCAAGACUAUCAAUGUAAAUAUUAUAUCUCACAAUUGUUUCCCUUUCAUUGAAGUGUUCAUUUUGCAACAAAUGCCGCUUAAAUAUAGUUUACAGCUUAAACCGACCUGAAUCAUCCCAUAUUGUGAAAGUAUCAAUUCAGUGUCUGUGAGGCUCAGCAGAAACACAGGGCAAGCUUUGGUUGUCUGGAAACCUGGCAACUUUGGACAAAUAAAGUGAUCGGAUUCAUGAAUGAGCGUGCAAACCAUGCAAACUAUGAGAGAUUCCCGGGAGAAAUGACAAAAUGGAAGGUGGGCGGGAGAUAGGUCUGAAAUAUGGGAGAGUCCCGGGAAAAACGAAGUGUUGGCAGGUAUGCAAUAAAAGCGCAUAUGAGUCUGUGUACUCUGGGCAGCUAGUGCUACCUCCCUUGUCCAUCAUGUAUACUGAAGUUUUGACGACUGAUGACUGACUAUUCAUUGGGGCAACAGACAGGCCUGAUUGGGUGGCUUUCUACUAAAUCUUAAGGCCUGUUUAGGCUGUGUUUUAGCUGGGGUUUCGCCUGAAACAUCUGGCACACUUGUGAACCGAGUUUAGAACGCCACCCACAGAUGCCAGAAUGAGUGCGUUCAACACCAACGUGUUCAUACGCAAAUAAAGAAUGAAACGUUCAUGUUCGCCUGAAAUAUGAAUGAGUUGAUGAAUGAUUGUUCAUUCAACGCCCAAGACAGCUUGCAGCCUGUCAAUUAAAAAUCUAUGGAUGAGAUGGAUUAGACAUGAGGGGGGAGUGUAACUUGUGUAUCAUCAGAGGCUUUUGAAUGCUAUUAAAAGUAGAACUGAAGUCUAUGAAGAGGAUCCUGGCAAAGUGAACUGGAGAGUCAAGGUGCUGGAGGAGGAGAUGCAGCAAGCAAGCCACUGCGUCCUCAGUGCCCCUUGUGGUCUUAAAGGCAAAUUGAAAGGGGUCGAGCCAGGGGGUGACGACUGGCAGGAUGGUACACAGCAGCAGCUUCUCAAGGCACUUCAUAAUUAUGGGGGUGAGGGCAACAGGGCAAUAGUAGUUUGGAUGGAUGGGCCGUGGUAUUUUGGUUAAAGGGAUUACGGUGGCUGUUUUCCAGGGGACAGGAAUGGUAACAGACCGGUAGGAUUCACAGAGGAGUGGAUAAAGCACUAGUGUAAGUUUGUGAGCACAGUCCCUCAGCACCCUUACUGGGAUGCUAUCAGGCUCUAUAGCCUAGUUCAGCUUGCAUUGGAUGAGCUGAUGGCAUACAUUAUCUUCUGUGGAGGGGGGUGGCUUAUCUGCUUCCAGUAAAGGGAGGGUUUCCAGCAGAGAUUUACACUCCACCGUAUAUCCAGUGUGUCAAAACGGACAAAAAUGUAUUCAGUUCUUCUGCAAAGGAUCUUGGGUCCAUUGAUACACAGGUUUUAGGUUUUGGACCACAUUCUGUUAAUGUUUUCACCUUCCGAAAUGCCUGCUCACUGUUCAUGUUGGCAAAUUCAGAUUCCAGUUAAUCCUUGAAUUUCAUUUCUUGUUUGCUAAUUUGAGGCUUUUAAAGUCCUUGAGCAUGAAGGCUGCAUUGACAGAAACACUGUCAUUCAGAUGUCCAUUAAAAAUACCCCAGUCAAUACAUGCCAGGGAGCCUUGGAGAUGGGCAAUGGCAUCUUCCGACCUCUGUAGGGGCACUGUAGUAUUGUAGCUUAUGAUGUUUCAGUUCGUGUUUGUAGAGUAAAAGUAAACACAUCACAUGGUGAGAUCACAAUGAGCAAUGUUAAAGUCCAGGCAGUGGAUAUAAACAAGCAUGUGCCAGUAAAGCGUCAGUAUUAUUGCCUUAACACAUAUCCAAGAUGUCCACCUUCCUCAUAAGAAUAUCCACAUACUGCUGAAAUGAUGGCAGAACAUUGUCCAGCUUGCAUGUUUUAAAAUCCCCCCAGAUAAACACAAGAGCCCUGGGAUACUUUGCCAUCAGAGCAUUAGCACCCUCAGCUACCAGCUCUGCUGCUGUCGAAUUGUUCACACUGGGAGCAAUUUCAACACAGCUGAUUAUGGGGAGACAGAAAGGAUGACGUGACAGGGUCAGCAUCUCCAGUUUGGACUACAUGCCUUCCGAUGUGCCUUGAUAUUGUUACACCAUCUUUUGUUGAUGUAAAGGCAGACCCUGCCACCCCACAUCUUCCCUGAGUGUACUGUUCUGUCAGACCUGAAGAUGGUGAAGUCAUCUAGGCUGACUUCAGUGUCUAACUAACUCAUCAAGCCAGGUUUUAGAUAGGACGAGGAUACAGAUGUCCCUGAAGGCACUUUCCUGUUGGCACCAGGUAUGCAGCAAGUCCAUCUUGUUAUGGAGUGAACGGACAUGUGUCAGGCUGGAGUGCGUGGCAAUCAUGCAAUAGCCAUAGUAUUGCGAGCAGAGUAAACAUAAAAGUAAAUAGCAUUAGUGCUACUGUAGGUGCCAACAGACUACCAUGCAGACACUGGCGACUGUAGGUGUGCAAUAUGACCAAAAUGUCACGUCCUACAACCUCUUCAAUACAGCGGCACCCGUACGCCGGCCGCUAUGACCGCUUAAAAGCAAAGAAAAGCUAAUGUUAGCAUUGAGCAAAUAUGAGCUACAAAAGUUGCUAAACUGGUGAACCAUAUGUUUUUUCAGAAAAUAUUAAAAUCCACCAAAGCAAAACAAAUAAUUACUCUUCCAACAGAAACAAAGCAACCAUUCUGUUGUCUCCACUGCUCAAAGGCUGCCCCGAUGUUGACUCUGGUUUGUCCUCUUGCUCUAUUCAGAGCCUUCUUCAUUGCAGCCCUUUCUGCCUCUGUCUUCCUCUUCUUUGGCUGUGUAGCUGGCCAAUCCAUCACAGGUACCGCUGGAACUUGUAUUUUAGGCUGCUAUUUCUUUGCCAUUGUAAAAUGGUCACAUAUUCUCCAGCUGACAAGGUAUUCAGGCAGAGGAGCUUGCUUGCUAUCUGUGGCAACAGCGAAGUGAUGCAUGUGCCUGCGGUUGGGGUGGGAUGGGGGCAGAGGGGAGUGGGGGCGGUGCUGGACAAGACUUUGAGGCAUCUGAUUGGUUCUUUACAUUCGGGCGGAACAAAAUGAUUGGUCAAACUUUGUACAGUCCUGUGGCUGCCAUAGAUCUUGGAUUCUUUUCGUUUCUCUUUCUGAAUACAUAAUGAAUUGGAUACUCUAGGGGUGGGAGGACCAUUUUAUCCAUUAUGACAAAUAGUGUCUCUGAGCAACACUGCCUACCCUGCCUUUAAGUAAUAAGUCAAGUCAAGUCAAGUUUAUUUGUAUAGCACAUUUCAGCAGCAGGGCAACACAGGGCAAUAAUACACCACCUUCAGUAAUACAUCUUCAGAUUUACAGAGAGCCUUUGCAUUUAUGGGUAAUGAUCAUUUGGGUGUAGACCAGGGGUCGGCAACCCGCGGCUCUGGAGCCGCAUGCGGCUCUUUCUUCCCUAAGCUGCGGCUCCCAGUGGAUUUGGAAAAUAAAUAAUAAAUACUUAAUUGCAUUUUAUUUUAUUUUGUUAUUAUUUUUUUUUUUUUGUAAUUCUAAAUUCAAAGAUUAUAAUGCUCUUGUAACUUUACAUAAACUAUUAAGGCUGCAACAACGAAUCGAUUAAGUAGAUUCGUCGUGACGAAAAAAUCCGUUGCCAACAAAUUCUGUAAUCGAUUCGUCGGGUCUUUAUAUAUGUCCAUGGACACCGGCGUGUAAACAUCAGCAGGACGCACAGAAAAGAAACAGCCAUGGCCGAGGCAGCGGCUGAGAAAAACAUGGACACAACCCAACCCAAAUCCCGACCUAAAACAUCAGUGGUGUGGGAAAACUUCACCAAGACUGUAAAGGAAGGCGUUCAGUGCAACAUUUGCAAAGACCGUUUUGCAUGGCUCGGGAGUACAUCGAUGAUGCGUGAGCACAGGGCUCUCAAGUCUCAUGCAUUCAGCGUAUGACACACGCAUUCCCACUCGUUCACACGCUCACACACACCACACAUUGUAUUUCUCACGCAUUUAAAUGAACAUGGUGAUGUCCACCAAGUUGCACUUCUUCAACUUUGGAACUGGGGGAAAUCAACUGAGUUCCUCCGAGAGUUCAGAAGCUGCGUGCCACGCACAAGCCAAUCAAAUAAAGUAUAUCUACUGAACAGCCAAUCAAAAAGCAGCAUUGCUGUAUCAGGGUAGAUUUUGAUAUCUUGCGGUUUAACUACAGAAGAAGACAGACACUCGCCGAAAUAGUUCAUUUAUUUCAUAAAUGCAACUCGCUACAGUUUUUUAUAUACUUUGUAUAAAGGUUAAAAAAAAAAAGAUAUAUGCAAUGUUAUCUUCAUUUUAGAUGUCAAAGAGGUUUUGUGGCUCCCUGUGUUUUCUUUUCUGUAGGAAACUGGUCCAAGUGGCUCUUUGAGUGUUUAAGGUUGCCGACCCCUGGUGUAGACACAGUCAGCAGAUAUUAAAGUGACCUUAACCAGUCUGUAUGUAACCUCCUUUAGUUCCAGAUUUAUGCUUCUGGCAUGUUGUUCUCUGUGGAUUGAAACAUUCAGCACCUCAAAUUCAGUAAUCUGAUUUUUGGGGGGUUCAAAGACGGUACCAGUUUACAUGAGUGAAAUCCUCUGAACUCCUUAUUUCUUGCCCUGUGUUGUUAUUUGAUCACCUUGUUUUGGCUGAGAGGAUCCCUGCAUCCUACUGUGAAGGGAUGAGAGUCGUGUUUGUUUGGAGCUCUGGCCCUGAGGCUCUGCACACAUCACAAUGACAGAAAACUCAUUUAGCCACCUCCUGCUGAAACCUGAGACUGGGCUCACUGACUUGACACCCCGGCACUAAUGCACUCACUCAAACAGCCACUUAUAACCAUAUAUCUGGUCUGGAUUAGAACAUUAGACCAUUUGCAAAAAGAAGGAAGGAAGUCUGAAUCAAACCACUGCAGCAGUAUUUUCUCCCAUCAUGCAGUUGUAAAACCACCUGCUCAUUUGAUAUCUGAGGGUCAGGAGAUCUUUGCAGGUCUUGCAGCUAGUUGAAGUUUAUGACACUGAACUGACUGUGGUAUAUGUCCUAAUUCUUAAGGAGAUGACCCAAUCACCGUCCCAAAGGUUACCUCAAAAUGCCUAAUGGUAACUUGGGAAACCUCCUCUGGGUACACAGCUAGAUAAUUUUCCAGUUUCCUGGCCAAGCCACAGAAUUUAAUGUUUUUCCCCUACUGCUGAAAAUUCAAACAGACCAUACUUGCAUGAUGCCGACCACAAUGACAAACUUAUUUGCAAUACUUCUGAAUCUCCUCAGAAUAUACAGGAUAAUUACGUUUGACCGUUCCUCUUGCACCACAAAACUUUUAUAAAGUAGAAUUCUGGAGACAGUUUCUUUUGGCUACAAGCUGAGAGCCAUCUUUCUUAAAUGAUCAUUUCUAAGUAUCUGCAUCUGUUCCUUGGAUAAUGACAUCAGAUCUGCAGAGGUCUGCAUUUUCAUCUGCUAUAUGAACAAUAUUAUCUUUGACUCAACUUUGCUGCCCUUGCAUCAGGUCCUGGCAGUAAGUAACAGUAACCUCCAGUGUUGAAAAAAAAACCUACAGUUCCUAGAGUGUCCAUUUCGGGCAGUCUCUUAAGACCAAGGAAACCGCAUUAGAACCAGGCAACAACUCCUGGUGUAGGCGAAAAUAAAGAUAGUGAGGAUGUGCUACAAAAUGCAAAAACUCUCCAAAUGUCUCCAGAAGGUCACCCCUUUGACAUUCAUGUUAAAAUGCCUGCUUUACAGCAAAGUUGAAGAGGAUCACAGCCUGGCACAAAACACAGCCAGAAGGCUAAAGCCCCUCUAAAAUCUUUGCCUCUUACUGAAUCAAUUCAAAGUCAGUUCAAGUCAGCAUUUCCACUGAGGUGACCACCAUUGCAAGGCCUUGAAUCUCAGAGGCCUUUCCUUCAAACCCUGGAGGCACAAAAGGCCUUUGUUUUUAGCGGCAUUUAGCUACCCCUCAGUGGAUCCAACAUCCACUUCUGGAACCAUCGUACUGGUCAGUCCUACAGUCAGCUGAUAAUAGCAGCAGUAUCAUCAGCUCAAAAAUUUGUUAAUGACUAUUAUCCAAUCAGGACAUCUCUCAUCAACAGUAUCAUAACUAACAGGUAUCAUACUCGUCUUGGGCAUGUCUUUCACAUACUGGCAAAGCAUUCAGCUGCCCAGUGCGUAAUAUGGCUGAGAAAGGAACAUUAAUCUCACACAAUAACAUCCAGUAUAAACUCUGUAAAAAGACUAACAAAAGAACCAAG
This 13025-nucleotide long non-coding RNA is filed under the name Xyrichtys novacula (pearly razorfish). Lineage: Eukaryota; Metazoa; Chordata; Actinopteri; Labriformes; Labridae. The record is from RNAcentral.